RNAcentral lists this transfer RNA (70 nucleotides) under Cysteochila chiniana. RNAcentral's name for it is "tRNA-Ser". Lineage: Eukaryota; Metazoa; Arthropoda; Insecta; Hemiptera; Tingidae. The record is from RNAcentral.
AAGAGAAAGAUGUAAUCAUAAAGGAGCUGCUAACUACCUUUAUUAGAGGUUAAAAUCCACUAUUCUCUUA